This 922-nucleotide ribosomal RNA is filed under the name uncultured Chloroflexota bacterium. RNAcentral's name for it is "bacterial SSU rRNA". It matches the Rfam family "Bacterial small subunit ribosomal RNA", at positions 28 to 895 of the family's 1533-position model. Lineage: Bacteria; Bacillati; Chloroflexota. The record is from RNAcentral.
AAUAAACGCUGGUGGCAUGCUUUAUACAUGCAAGUCGAGCGAAGACUAGAUUUGUAGUAGAAAUGAUUAAUUUUCACUUUGUGGAGAUUAUGAAUUUUUGCUAUUCCUGGUCUUAGCGGCGAACGGGUGAGUAACGCGUGAAUAAUCUGCCCUUGAAAUCGGGAUACCAUUCCGAAAGGAAUGCUAAUACCGAAAACGUUAUGAAACAUAGGGUUCAUAACCAAAGUUGAAUCUUUGGAUUCUUCGUUCAAGGAUGAGUUCGCGUCCUAUUAGCUAGUUGGUGAGGUAAAGGCUCACCAAGGCUAUGAUGGGUAGCCGGCCUGAGAGGGCGUACGGCCACAUUGGGACUGAGACACGGCCCAGACUCCUACGGGAGGCAGCAGUAGGGAAUCUUCCGCAAUGGGCGAAAGCCUGACGGAGCGAUGCCACGUGGAUGACGGAGGCCUUCGGGUCGUAAAAUCCUGUCAGGAGGGACGAUGGUCAAUUUUCGGAUUGAUUGACGGUACCUCCAGAGGAAGCUCCGGCCAACUACGUGCCAGCAGCCGCGGUAAUACGUAGGGAGCAAGCGUUGUUCGGAUUUACUGGGCGUAAAGAGUGCGUAGGUGGCUAUACAAGUCAAGGGUGAAAUCUCUACUUUCAAGGUAGAAACUGCCUUUGAUACUGUAUGGCUAGAGGGCAAGAGGGGGAAAUGGAACUCUGGGAGUUGCGGUGAAAUGCGUAGAUAUCCAGAGGAACGCCAGUAGCGAAGGCGGUUUCCUGGCUUGCUUCUGACACUGAGGCACUAAAGCUAGGGGAGCGAUCGGGAUUAGAGACCCCGGUAGUCCUGGCCCUAAACGAUGGGUACUAGGUGUGGGGGGAGCAUUACCCUCUGUGCCGAAGCUAACGCGUUAAGUACCCCGCCUGGGGAGACGGUCGCAAGACU